AACACAUGCAAGUCGAGCGAUUCUCUUCGGAGAAGAGCGGCGGACGGGUGAGUAACGCGUGGGUAACCUGCCCUGUACACACGGAUAACAUACCGAAAGGUAUGCUAAUACGAGAUAAUAUACUUUUAUCGCAUGGUAGAAGUAUCAAAGCUUUUGCGGUACAGGAUGGACCCGCGUCUGAUUAGCUAGUUGGUAAGGUAACGGCUUACCAAGGCGACGAUCAGUAGCCGACCUGAGAGGGUGAUCGGCCACAUUGGAACUGAGACACGGUCCAAACUCCUACGGGAGGCAGCAGUGGGGAAUAUUGCACAAUGGGCGAAAGCCUGAUGCAGCAACGCCGCGUGAGCGAUGAAGGCCUUCGGGUCGUAAAGCUCUGUCCUCAAGGAAGAUAAUGACGGUACUUGAGGAGGAAGCCCCGGCUAACUACGUGCCAGCAGCCGCGGUAAUACGUAGGGGGCUAGCGUUAUCCGGAAUUACUGGGCGUAAAGGGUGCGUAGGUGGUUUCUUAAGUCAGAGGUGAAAGGCUACGGCUCAACCGUAGUAAGCCUUUGAAACUGGGAAACUUGAGUGCAGGAGAGGAGAGUGGAAUUCCUAGUGUAGCGGUGGAAUGCGUAGAUAUUAGGAGGAACACCAGUUGCGAAGGCGG
Molecule: ribosomal RNA, 646 nt
Filed under: uncultured Clostridium sp.
Lineage: Bacteria; Bacillati; Bacillota; Clostridia; Eubacteriales; Clostridiaceae
Description: bacterial SSU rRNA
Rfam family: Bacterial small subunit ribosomal RNA
Source: RNAcentral